AGUGCAAAUGACAACAAUGCUGCAUUUUUAAGGCACUUCAACAAGAGACUUUUUGGGUAAACUUCACUUUCUAGUGACUAAAAAUAAUAAUAACCAACCCAGAAGGCCGACUGAAGAUAACGGUCAGGAAUUUAAGUUGUAUUUCAGAAUGGAGUCCAUGCCCUGCGGCGAGCCCCACAUCCUCUUUAGUGCCUCACACUCCCUCUCGUUGGCCUGCUCCAGAGCGGCUCGGUUAACAUUCCGCACCAGCGCUUUGGACUCCCACAGAACCUCCAGGGUUGCCGUGGUGAAGAGCAGCAUCAUGAAAAUGAAAUUGUCUCUUUACACAUGUAACUGGCUCCUCCGUUCUUCAGUGAAACGCCUGAAACCAUCGAUGUAGAAACAUCGUCCAUUGUGUGGCAGCUGUAAUGUUUUAAACCGAUCAACAAACUUUACUUCUCACUGUGCAAUACAUUAUUCUAUUACUGUUAUUACUAUAUUACUGUUAUUACUAUAUUACUGUAUUACUGUUAUUAUUGUUUACUGUAAUUACUGUAAUUACUUAUUACAGUUAUUACUGUUA
This is a long non-coding RNA of Tachysurus fulvidraco (yellow catfish), 562 nucleotides long. RefSeq lists it as uncharacterized. The record is from RefSeq and is a predicted model, not a curated record. The transcript has 3 exons. NCBI's taxonomy places the organism in Eukaryota, Metazoa, Chordata, Actinopteri, Siluriformes, Bagridae.